AUUGAACGCUGGCGGCAUGCCUUACACAUGCAAGUCGAACGGUAACAGGUCUUCGGAUGCUGACGAGUGGCGAACGGGUGAGUAAUACAUCGGAACGUGCCUAGUAGUGGGGGAUAACUACUCGAAAGAGUGGCUAAUACCGCAUGAGAUCUACGGAUGAGAGCAGGGGAUCGCAAGACCUUGUGCUACUAGAGCGGCCGAUGGCAGAUUAGGUAGUUGGUGGGAUAAAAGCUUACCAAGCCGACGAUCUGUAGCUGGUCUGAGAGGACGAUCAGCCACACUGGGACUGAGAAGCGGCCCAGAGUCCUACGGGAGGCAGCAGUGGGGAAUUUUGGACAAUGGGCGCAAGCCUGAUCCAGCAAUGCCGCGUGCAGGAUGAAGGCCUUCGGGUUGUAAACUGCUUUUGUACGGAACGAAAAGCCCCGGGUUAAUACCCUGGGGUCAUGACGGUACCGUAAGAAUAAGCACCGGCUAACCACGUGCCAGCCGCCGCCGUAA
This 498-nucleotide ribosomal RNA is filed under the name uncultured bacterium. RNAcentral's name for it is "partial 16S ribosomal RNA". It matches the Rfam family "Bacterial small subunit ribosomal RNA", at positions 30 to 523 of the family's 1533-position model. The record is from RNAcentral.